This 264-nucleotide ribosomal RNA is filed under the name uncultured bacterium. Its description in RNAcentral is "partial 16S ribosomal RNA". It matches the Rfam family "Bacterial small subunit ribosomal RNA", at positions 8 to 263 of the family's 1533-position model. The record is from RNAcentral.
CAGAGUUGAUCAUGGCUCAGGACGAACGCUGGCGGCGUGCCUAACACAUGCAAGUCGAGCGGAGACAGUGAGUAGCUUGCUAUGAGCUGUUUUAGCGGCGGACGGGUGAGUAACGCGUGAGCAACCUUUCCCAGACAGGGGAAUAACACACCGAAAGGUGUACUAAUACCGCAUAAGACCACGGGAUCACAUGGUUCUGGGGUAAAAGAUUUUAUCGGUUUGGGGUGGGCUCGCGUCCGAUUAGGUAGUUGGUGAGGUAACCGG